CCUGUGUGUGUAUGUGUACGUGUGUGUAUCUAUGUGUAUGUGUGUGUCUGUAUGUAUGUGUCUGUGUCUGUGUAUGUAUGUGUAUCUGUGUGUGUAUCUAUGUGUAUGUAUGUGUGUGUGUGUCUGUGUGUGUGUGUCUGUGUGUAUCUAUGUGUAUGUGUGUGUGUCUGUGUGUGUAUGUAUGUGUAUCUGUGUCUCUGUGUGUAUGUAUGUGUAUCUGUGUGUCUGUGUGUAUGUAUGUGUGUCUGUGUGUGUGUCUGUGUGUGUAUGUAUGUGUAUCUGUGUGUCUGUGUGUAUGUAUGUGUGUCUGUGUGUAUGUAUGUGUGUAUGUGUGUGUGUGUGUGUCUGUGUGUGUAUGUAUGUGUGUCUGUGUGUGUGUCUGUGUGUCUGUGUGUAUGUAUGUGUGUCUGUGUGUCUGUGUGUCUGUGUGUGUGUCUGUGUGUCAGUGUGUGUGUGUGUCUCUCCAGGCCCGCGUCUCGCACAGCCGCCGUGCGGACCGCAGGGCGCUG
RNAcentral lists this long non-coding RNA (509 nucleotides) under Lonchura striata (white-rumped munia). RNAcentral describes it as "domestica (Bengalese finch) lncRNA (ENSLSDG00000001864.1)". Lineage: Eukaryota; Metazoa; Chordata; Aves; Passeriformes; Estrildidae. The record is from RNAcentral.